GUUAACACUAAUGCUGGCCUCAUAUACGUUGAAGGACACCAUACAUUCUAAGCCUAAAAGGCAUUUAUUUUUGUAUUAAAAAAGUCUAAAUAUGGUACAGUGGGUGGGUGGAGAGAGGAAAGGCCUGCGUGGGAGACAGUGAAGCACUCAAUGUAGCCAACUGUUUCACUAAUGAUUCUAUGUUUAGCACAAUAAAUCAAAAGGCAUGCUCGUGCUGCUGUAAUCCCCUGAAAGCGAGUGGAGACAGGGACGCGCCAAAAGGAGAAUCUGGUCCACAUUUCUCCGCUCCCAGUAUAACUGAUCUGCUUGGGUAAUUUUAGACCUGUCAGGGAAAACAAGGUCACAGCAAAUGUUGUAUCGAGGACACACUCGGAUCUGCUUCUUUUUUUCCUUUUCAUCAAUCAAAGUUUCCCUUUGGAGUUGGGCUUGGACUCCUGUGAGACUAGUAAUGACGGUUUCUCGUCUCGGCACCGGGGGGAGAAGCUGGAGCUCCAACCAGCAAUUAGGAGGAGCACGGCUGAAUCCGCAGGAUGUGUAAAAAUUCCCUUCUGAUUCUUGGCUUGGUCCAUAGAGGGGGGUUUACAUCUGACUGGUCUGGCCUGUUUACUGUGAAGGCAUGCAAAGUUAAGAUGAUUACAAUGCUGAAUGCCAAAUUUGUGUUCUCUCAGACUGUUUACCGAAAAUGUCCAGGAUCCAGGAUUCCCAGUGUCUUCUCGUUUUGUACUUCAUCAGAGAAGCCUUUGCACACUUCAGUAAAGAGGCCGGAGAGGGAAGACUGGUGAAGGCAACAGCUUCAUUGUCAUGUUGUCCUCAGAGGAGUUCGACAAUAACCUUAGAAGGAUGGACAACUGUGCUGACUCACUUAAGUUGUUAUCCGUGACAUCUGGGACAUUAAAGAGGCAGUUACGCCGGGUUGAAAAUGAAAGUCAUGAUGCAAAUUUCGGCUUCUAACCUAAAUGCCAGAGUCCCAUGCCAUUAUUUCCACAGCAGGCCUGUAAGUGAUGUAUUGAUCAAUGUUUUGAUUUAUUUUUUUCCCAAUAAAAUGCAUUAAUGAGUCC
Molecule: long non-coding RNA, 1058 nt
Organism: Micropterus salmoides (largemouth bass)
Lineage: Eukaryota; Metazoa; Chordata; Actinopteri; Centrarchiformes; Centrarchidae
Exons: 3
Source: RefSeq, a predicted model, not a curated record